This 433-nucleotide ribosomal RNA is filed under the name uncultured bacterium. Its description in RNAcentral is "bacterial SSU rRNA". It matches the Rfam family "Bacterial small subunit ribosomal RNA", at positions 352 to 782 of the family's 1533-position model. The record is from RNAcentral.
CAGUAAGGAAUAUUGGUCAAUGGACGCAAGUCUGAACCAGCCAUGCCGCGUGGAGGAUUAAGGCCCUCUGGGUUGUAAACUCCUUUUAUCUGGGAAGAAAUGUACUUUUUCUUGAGUACUUGACGGUACCAGAGGAAUAAGCACCGGCUAACUCCGUGCCAGCAGCCGCGGUAAUACGGAGGGUGCAAGCGUUAUCCGGAUUCACUGGGUUUAAAGGGUGCGUAGGUGGGCAGAUAAGUCAGUGGUGAAAUCUCCGGGCUUAACCCGGAAACUGCCGUUGAUACUAUUUGUCUUGAAUAUUGUGGAGGUAAGCGGAAUAUGUCAUGUAGCGGUGAAAUGCUUAGAUAUGACAUAGAACACCAAUUGCGAAGGCAGCUUACUACACAAUCAUUGACGCUGAGGCACGAAAGCGUGGGGAUCAAACAGGAUUAGA